GGUCCUGUGGUCUGUGGUCUAGUGGUUAGGACACAUGACUCUGAAUCAUGUAACCCGAGAUCAAGUUUCGGCAGGACCU
RNAcentral lists this transfer RNA (79 nucleotides) under Pleodorina starrii. RNAcentral's name for it is "tRNA-Gln". The stretch from base 9 to 79 matches the Rfam family "tRNA". From Rfam's summary of the family: Transfer RNA (tRNA) molecules are approximately 80 nucleotides in length. The record is from RNAcentral. Lineage: Eukaryota; Viridiplantae; Chlorophyta; Chlorophyceae; Chlamydomonadales; Volvocaceae.